Molecule: ribosomal RNA, 457 nt
Filed under: Escherichia coli
Lineage: Bacteria; Pseudomonadati; Pseudomonadota; Gammaproteobacteria; Enterobacterales; Enterobacteriaceae
Description: bacterial SSU rRNA
Rfam family: Bacterial small subunit ribosomal RNA
Source: RNAcentral
AAAUUGAAGAGUUUGAUCAUGGCUCAGAUUGAACGCUGGCGGCAGGCCUAACACAUGCAAGUCGAACGGUAACAGAAAGCAGCUUGCUGCUUUGCUGACGAGUGGCGGACGGGUGAGUAAUGUCUGGGAAACUGCCUGAUGGAGGGGGAUAACUACUGGAAACGGUAGCUAAUACCGCAUAACGUCGCAAGACCAAAGAGGGGGACCUUCGGGCCUCUUGCCAUCGGAUGUGCCCAGAUGGGAUUAGCUAGUAGGUGGGGUAAAGGCUCACCUAGGCGACGAUCCCUAGCUGGUCUGAGAGGAUGACCAGCCACACUGGAACUGAGACACGGUCCAGACUCCUACGGGAGGCAGCAGUGGGGAAUAUUGCACAAUGGGCGCAAGCCUGAUGCAGCCAUGCCGCGUGUAUGAAGAAGGCCUUCGGGUUGUAAAGUACUUUCAGCGGGGAGGAAGGGAG